ACAGAUUGAGCUGGCUCAGGAUGAACGCUAGCGGCAGGCUUAAUACAUGCAAGUCGAGGGGCAGCGGGAGUAGCAAUACUUGCCGGCGACCGGCGCACGGGUGCGUAACACGUAUACAAUCUACCCUUUACAGGGGGAUAGCCCUCCGAAAGGAGGAUUAAUACCCCAUAAUAAAUUGAAUGGCAUCAUUUGAUUUUGAAAGAUUUAUCGGUAAAGGAUGAGUAUGCGUCUGAUUAGCUAGUUGGAGAGGUAACGGCUCCCCAAGGCGACGAUCAGUAGGGGAUCUGAGAGGACUACCCCCCACACUGGUACUGAGACACGGACCAGACUCCUACGGGAGGCAGCAGUAAGGAAUAUUGGUCAAUGGAGGCAACUCUGAACCAGCCAUGCCGCGUGCAGGAAGACGGCAUGAUGGGUUGUAAACUGCUUUUGUACGGGAGAAAACCCUUUCACGUGUGGGAGGUUGAUAGUACCGUAAGAAUAAGCAUCGGCUAACUUCGUGCCAGCAGCCGCACCAAAGACGAAGGAUGCAAGCGUUAUCCGGAUUCACUAUGGGUUUAAAGGGAGCGUAGGUGGACUUGUAAGUCAGUGGUGAAAUCUCUCAGCUUACCUGAGAAACUGCCAUUGAUACUGCAGAUCUUGAGUACAGAUGAUGUGGGCGGAAUAUGACAUCCAGAAGUGAAAUACUUAAAUAUGUCAUAGAACACCGAUUGCGAAGGCAGCUCACAAAACCGUAACUGACACUGAGGCUCGAAUUGCGGGGAUCAAACAUAUAUUAGAUACCCUGGUAGUCCGCACCGUAAACGAUGAUAACUCGUUGUUAGCGAUAUGACAGUUAGCGACCAAGCGCAAGCGAUAAGUUAUCCACCUGGGGAGUACGCCGGCAGUGUGAAACUCAAAGGAAUUGACGGGGGUCCGCACAAGCGGAGGAGCAUGUGGUUUAAUUCGAUGAUACGCGAGGAACCUUACCUGGGCUUGAAAGUUAGUGACCGUCUCUGAAAGGAGAUUUUCCGCAAGGACACGCAACUAGUUGCUGCAUGGCGGUCGUCAGUUCGUGCCGUGAGGUGUUGGGUCAAGUCCCGCCACGGGCGCAAGCCCUGCCAUUAGUUACCAGCGGGUAAUGUCGGGAACUCUAAUGGAACUUCCCGUGCAAACGGUGAGGAAGGUGGGGAUGACGUCAAGUCAUCACGGCCCUUACGUCCAGGGCUACACACGUGCUACAAUGGCCGGUACAACGGGCAGCUACACAGUGAUGUGAUGCUAACCUCUAAAAACCGGUCUCAGUUCGGAUUGAAGUUACGCAACUCGACUUCAUGAAGCUGGAUUCGCAAGUUAUCGCGCAUCAGCAAUGGCGCGGUGAAUACGUUCCCGGGCCUUGUACACACCGCCCGUCAAGCCAUGAAAGCUGGGAGUAUCUAAAGUCGGUAUACGCAAGGCGCCGCCUAGGGUAAAACCGGUGCUUGGUUA
Molecule: ribosomal RNA, 1467 nt
Filed under: uncultured bacterium
Lineage: Bacteria
Description: bacterial SSU rRNA
Rfam family: Bacterial small subunit ribosomal RNA
Source: RNAcentral